Hibiscus syriacus is the source of this 261-nucleotide long non-coding RNA. RefSeq lists it as uncharacterized. Lineage: Eukaryota; Viridiplantae; Streptophyta; Magnoliopsida; Malvales; Malvaceae. The transcript has 3 exons. The record is from RefSeq and is a predicted model, not a curated record.
AAUCUUCUUUCCUGCCAAACAGCCUCGUUUUCUAACAAUUUCUCACCAAGAUUAACGACGCAAGUUUCCUCACUUUCUCUCGCUCCAAUUCAAACAGUACACCUUAUGGCAGAGCCAAAGAAGGCAACUUCUUCAGCUGUGGAUUCAAAAUCAAAGGAGAAAAUAUCAGUGAUAGAUGAGGAUAUUGGUAAAGAUUUCCUUAGCUCCUGGAAAAUGAAAGAUGAUGAUAUGGAUUUUAACUUUGAGACAACCACAAGGGGC